UACGUAGGGAGCAAGCGUUGUCCGGAAUCAUUGGGCGUAAAGCGCGCGUAGGCGGCUCGAUCAGUCUGUUGUGAAAGUCAAAGGCUCAACCUUUGAAUGCCGAUGGAUACUGUCGAGCUAGAGUCCGGAAGAGGCGAGUGGAAUUCCUGGUGUAGCGGUGGAAUGCGCAGAUAUCAGGAGGAACACCGGUGGCGAAGGCGGAUCUCUGGGCCAUUACUGACGCUGAGGAGCGAAAGCGUGGGGAGCGAACAGG
RNAcentral lists this ribosomal RNA (253 nucleotides) under uncultured bacterium. Its description in RNAcentral is "partial 16S ribosomal RNA". It matches the Rfam family "Bacterial small subunit ribosomal RNA", at positions 524 to 776 of the family's 1533-position model. The record is from RNAcentral.